RNAcentral lists this ribosomal RNA (570 nucleotides) under Triticum aestivum (bread wheat). RNAcentral describes it as "partial small subunit ribosomal RNA". The record is from RNAcentral. Lineage: Eukaryota; Viridiplantae; Streptophyta; Magnoliopsida; Poales; Poaceae.
AUGGCCUCCCUGAAUCCUUUUGUCCAUCCAAAGGAUCUGCGCCGACGAGCACAGGGCGAGGUCCUGGUGCACCGGAUCCGUCGCCCCCCACUACAGGAGGAGCCAUGGCAUCCGGUUCACCGUGCGUUCUGCCCUUCUCCAAGAAUGGAUCUACGCCGACGACCCCAUACUGCCCAAGGUCCAUUCUCCCACCAUGCUUCCACCACUAUCAAGGGUUAUGUGAAGACUUCAUUUAGUUUAAGGGAGCUGGUUCAGGCAAUUAACACAUGCGACUACGAUAUGUCUACGAGUGGACAUUAUUCCAAGAGAUCAAAGCAUUUGUUAGACUUAAUUUCUGUUCGUUUCGGGCUAUGCAUUGUCCCAGACUUUGUAAUAAGGAUAUGGUACAUCAUCAUCACCGAUGAAGAGGAGAAGGGGUUUAUCGUGUCAGGAAAGGUAAGGCAACAGAGAGCCUCAUGUUUUGUGAGCCAGAUGUUCCUCUUUAAGACCUGGAUGGGCAACCUGUUGCAAGUGCUCAAGGGGUGUUCAGAGCAUAUACUUCUCAAGGCCAACAUUGUGAUGCAUGUGUAG